RNAcentral lists this unclassified non-coding RNA (1472 nucleotides) under Hevea brasiliensis (rubber tree). The record is from RNAcentral. Lineage: Eukaryota; Viridiplantae; Streptophyta; Magnoliopsida; Malpighiales; Euphorbiaceae.
GAGAGAGAGAGAGAGAGAGGGAGAAGUAAAAUGAAAAGGAAAGGCCCCAAUCUGCUUUUUUCCAUCCAAGUCUCCCCCAUAUCAGUGCCAUUGGGUAUGUUUGGCAUUGCUAUUGCACAUAGCUACCAAAUUUGUAUGACAAGAACUUGAGUUAAAGCAAUAAUAGCUAUUUGCAAAAGUUUAUCAAUGCAAUUCAUAAGCGAUAAUAGCAAUUUGCAAAAGCUUCAGAUAUAUAUUUUUUUUCAAAAUCAGCUUUCAACAUAUGACAAUCAAAUUGUAAAAAUUGUUCGUCUAUUAUCAAAAGAGAAUUCUUUCUAAAGCUGCGAUUAGCAACAACAAUAACAAACAUGCUCACAGAAUAUGAGAAUCAUUUCAACCGGAUGUGAGAGGGUCCAUAACUAUGCCAAAACAACUCGUCUCCUCAUCCAAAUUAUAUUCCAGAUUAUCCUCCCACCUCCAAUGCACAUAAGCAAUGAGACAAGUCCUAUAGUCACCAGUGCAUCAAGCAAGUCAUGGAAACAAAUAAUGCAUACGCCAGCUUUAUUUCAAGCAAUAUGUGUUUCACUCACUUUUUCAUAGAAUGAAAGCAUUGCCAAAGGAGGGAUAGAUUCAACAAACUAGAUUAAUUUUACAAACAAGUUGGGAUUCGAAAUAGUUAAAUAUGGAUCAAGAAAGGAACUUCACUUACAUGCCUUGCUUGUUAGUGGUCCUAAUUGUUUUAGGAAUUAAUUUCAACAGAACCAGCCAAUGUCAACAUGUAAAUAGAGCAUUAAAUGAAGAUUAUGCUUAUUAGGUAAGAAGUAUUCCAUCAAAUAAUAUCUCAAAGAGGAUAAAGAUAGAAGAGUACCGAAGACAGUAGUUUCAUACUUGCAGUAAUCUUUGCAUUUGAAUCCUUAAUCAGCACAUCCAUCUUUGAUAAAUUAGCCAAAUUCGAAGGAAAUCUCUCCAAUAUAAAUCUAGCAGCAAAGAUUCCUGGGCUUCCAGAUCCAAACCACUCGAAAUUCCAUCGACCUUCCAAAAAUGGCGAUGUAGUUGGUCUAGGCGUUGGAUUGAGCCGCUCAAGACCAGUUAUCCUCUCAUUCACAUCAAUCCUCUGCAAAUCUGUCGUCUUCCCCGUCACUAGAGCUUCAAAACCCCCAGAGUCUUUAAAAGCGAGAAGCAACGAUUCCUUAGCAGAGAGCCGCUCCAUCUCCUUGGCAUAGGCGGCCGGAGCUCCCUGUACUGCCUGCUGAACCAUCGCUGUGACGGCUAUUUUCCGGUUGCUCCGGCGAGUCUCUGGCAGGCGGGGGAAGGAGACGAGACAAGCGGUGGCAUGAAUUGAAGUGAAAGACGAUGAAUAGCGGGAACCAAUCGCAGAAUUUGCAGGAAGUGAACUGUGCAUCGCAGCCAUUCCAGAACCGAGAGAUAUUUUUCAGUUGUGAAAUAAAAUGGGCAUAAUCACAUUUCCAUUUUCAGAUUCAAGCCAAAACCCA